UCAGUCGACUCCUACGGGGAGGCAGCAGUGGGGAAUAUUGCACAAUGGGGGGAAACCCUGAUGCAGCCAUGCCGCGUGUGUGAAGAAGGCCUUCGGGUUGUAAAGCACUUUCAGUAGGGAGGAAGGUAGUGUAGUUAACACCUGCAUUAUUUGACGUUACCUAUAGAAGAAGCACCGGCUAACUCCGUGCCAGCAGCCGCGGUAAUACGGAGGGUGCGAGCGUUAAUCGGAAAUUACUGGGCGUAAAGCGCAUGCAGGCGGCCUGUUAAGUCAGAUGUGAAAGCCCGGGGCUUAACCUCGGAAUUGCAUUUGAAACUGGCAGGCUAGAGUCUUGUAGAGGGGGGUAGGAAUUUCAGGUGUAGCGGUGAAAUGCGUAGAGAUCUGAAGGAAUACCAGUGGCGAAGGCGGCCCCCUGGACAAAGACUGACGCUCAGACUGCGAAAGCGUGGGGAGCCAAACAGGAUUAGAUACCCCUGGUAG
RNAcentral lists this ribosomal RNA (480 nucleotides) under uncultured bacterium. RNAcentral's name for it is "bacterial SSU rRNA". It matches the Rfam family "Bacterial small subunit ribosomal RNA", at positions 328 to 793 of the family's 1533-position model. The record is from RNAcentral.